Molecule: ribosomal RNA, 1002 nt
Filed under: uncultured bacterium
Lineage: Bacteria
Description: bacterial SSU rRNA
Rfam family: Bacterial small subunit ribosomal RNA
Source: RNAcentral
AGUGAGGAAUAUUGCACAAUGGGGGAAACCCUGAUGCAGCAACGCCGCGUGGAGGAUGACGCAUUUCGGUGUGUAAACUCCUUUUAUAUGUCAAGAAAAUGACGGUAGCAUAUGAAUAAGCACCGGCUAACUCCGUGCCAGCAGCCGCGGUAAUACGGAGGGUGCAAGCGUUACUCGGAAUCACUGGGCGUAAAGGACGCGUAGGCGGGUUGGAAAGUCAGAUGUGAAAUCCUACAGCUUAACUGUAGAACUGCAUUUGAAACUUCUAAUCUAGAGUAUGGGAGGGGGAGAUGGAAUUAGUGGUGUAGGGGUAAAAUCCGUAGAUAUCACUAGGAAUACCGAAAGCGAAGGCGAUCUCCUGGAACAUAACUGACGCUAAGGCGUGAAAGCGUGGGGAGCAAACAGGAUUAGAUACCCUGGUAGUCCACGCCCUAAACGAUGAACACUAGUCGUCGGGAUGCUAGUCAUCUCGGUGAUGCACUUAACAGAUUAAGUGUUCCGCCUGGGGAGUACGGUCGCAAGAUUAAAACUCAAAGGAAUAGACGGGGACCCGCACAAGUGGUGGAGCAUGUGGUUUAAUUCGAAGAUACGCGAAGAACCUUACCUAGCCUUGACAUUGAUUGAACACACUAGAGAUAGAGUGGUGCCCUUCGGGGAACAUGAAAACAGGUGCUGCACGGCUGUCGUCAGCUCGUGUCGUGAGAUGUUGGGUUAAGUCCCGCAACGAGCGCAACCCUCGUCCUUAGUUGCUAGCAGUUCGGCUGAGCACUCUAAGGAGACUGCCUUCGUAAGGAGGAGGAAGGUGAGGACGACGUCAAGUCAUCAUGGCCCUUAUGGCUAGGGCUACACACGUGCUACAAUGGGGCGUACAGAGUGUUGCGAUACCGCGAGGUGGAGCUAAUCACUUAAAGCGUCUCUCAGUUCGGAUUGGAGUCUGCAACUCGACUCCAUGAAGCUGGAAUCACUAGUAAUCGUAGAUAAGCAAUGCUACGGUGAAUACGU